Molecule: ribosomal RNA, 1348 nt
Filed under: Microbacterium sp.
Lineage: Bacteria; Bacillati; Actinomycetota; Actinomycetes; Micrococcales; Microbacteriaceae
Description: bacterial SSU rRNA
Rfam family: Bacterial small subunit ribosomal RNA
Source: RNAcentral
GGUGAAGCCCCGCUUGCGGGGUGGAUCAGUGGCGAACGGGUGAGUAACACGUGAGCAACCUGCCCCUGACUCUGGGAUAAGCGCUGGAAACGGCGUCUAAUACUGGAUACGAGACGUGAUCGCAUGGUCAACGUUUGGAAAGAUUUUUCGGUUGGGGAUGGGCUCGCGGCCUAUCAGCUUGUUGGUGAGGUAAUGGCUCACCAAGGCGUCGACGGGUAGCCGGCCUGAGAGGGUGACCGGCCACACUGGGACUGAGACACGGCCCAGACUCCUACGGGAGGCAGCAGUGGGGAAUAUUGCACAAUGGGCGCAAGCCUGAUGCAGCAACGCCGCGUGAGGGAUGACGGCCUUCGGGUUGUAAACCUCUUUUAGCAGGGAAGAAGCGAGAGUGACGGUACCUGCAGAAAAAGCACCGGCUAACUACGUGCCAGCAGCCGCGGUAAUACGUAGGGUGCAAGCGUUAUCCGGAAUUAUUGGGCGUAAAGAGCUCGUAGGCGGUUUGUCGCGUCUGCUGUGAAAUCUGGGGGCUCAACCCCCAGCCUGCAGUGGGUACGGGCAGACUAGAGUGCGGUAGGGGAGAUUGGAAUUCCUGGUGUAGCGGUGGAAUGCGCAGAUAUCAGGAGGAACACCGAUGGCGAAGGCAGAUCUCUGGGCCGUAACUGACGCUGAGGAGCGAAAGGGUGGGGAGCAAACAGGCUUAGAUACCCUGGUAGUCCACCCCGUAAACGUUGGGAACUAGUUGUGGGGUCCAUUCCACGGAUUCCGUGACGCAGCUAACGCAUUAAGUUCCCCGCCUGGGGAGUACGGCCGCAAGGCUAAAACUCAAAGGAAUUGACGGGGACCCGCACAAGCGGCGGAGCAUGCGGAUUAAUUCGAUGCAACGCGAAGAACCUUACCAAGGCUUGACAUAUACGAGAACGGGCCAGAAAUGGUCAACUCUUUGGACACUCGUAAACAGGUGGUGCAUGGUUGUCGUCAGCUCGUGUCGUGAGAUGUUGGGUUAAGUCCCGCAACGAGCGCAACCCUCGUUCUAUGUUGCCAGCACGUAAUGGUGGGAACUCAUGGGAUACUGCCGGGGUCAACUCGGAGGAAGGUGGGGAUGACGUCAAAUCAUCAUGCCCCUUAUGUCUUGGGCUUCACGCAUGCUACAAUGGCCGGUACAAUGGGCUGCAAUACCGUGAGGUGGAGCGAAUCCCAAAAAGCCGGUCCCAGUUCGGAUUGAGGUCUGCAACUCGACCUCAUGAAGUCGGAGUCGCUAGUAAUCGCAGAUCAGCAACGCUGCGGUGAAUACGUUCCCGGGUCUUGUACACACCGCCCGUCAAGUCAUGAAAGUCGGUAACACCUGAAG